CCUACGGGUGGCAGCAGUAGGGAAUAUUCGACAAUGAGCGAAAGCCUGAAGGAGCAAUGCAGCGUGAACGAGGAAGGUCUUCGGAUCGUAAAGUUCUGUUGAAGGGGAAAAAGAGCGGAGAGAGGAAAUGCUUUCUGAUUGAUAUUACCCUUCGAGAAAGUCACGGCUAACUACGUGCCAGCAGCCGCGGUAAUACGUAGGUGGCAAGCGUUAUCCGGAAUUAUUGGGCGUAAAGCGUGCGUAGGCGGCCUGCUAAGUCUGGAGUGAAAGGUAGCGGCUCAACCGGGACAGGCUCUGGAUACUGGCUGACUAGAGAUCAGGAGAGGGCGGUGGAACUCCAUGUGAAGCGGUGAAAUGCGUAGAUAUAUGGAAGAACACCAGUGGAGAAGGCGGCCGCCUGGCCUGUUACUGACGCUGAGGCACGAAAGCGUGGGGAGCAAAUAGGAUUAGAUACCCGGGUAGUC
Molecule: ribosomal RNA, 464 nt
Filed under: uncultured bacterium
Lineage: Bacteria
Description: partial 16S ribosomal RNA
Rfam family: Bacterial small subunit ribosomal RNA
Source: RNAcentral